Molecule: ribosomal RNA, 253 nt
Filed under: uncultured bacterium
Lineage: Bacteria
Description: partial 16S ribosomal RNA
Rfam family: Bacterial small subunit ribosomal RNA
Source: RNAcentral
UACGUAGGGGGCUAGCGUUGUCCGGAUUUAUUGGGCGUAAAGAGCGUGUAGGCGGCCAGGUAGGUCUGCUGUGAAAACUCGAGGCUCAACCUCGAGACGUCGGCGGAAACCAUCUGGCUAGAGUCCGGAAGAGGAGAGUGGAAUUCCUGGUGUAGCGGUGAAAUUCGUAGAUAUCGGGAGGAACACCAGUGGCGAAGGCGACUACCUGGCCUGUUCUUGACGCUGAGGCGCGAAAGCUAGGGGAGCAAACGGG